Molecule: long non-coding RNA, 1338 nt
Filed under: Vulpes vulpes (red fox)
Lineage: Eukaryota; Metazoa; Chordata; Mammalia; Carnivora; Canidae
Description: lncRNA (ENSVVUG00000013042.1)
Source: RNAcentral
CAGAGAGAAAAUGGUGGAUUUAGCACACAUGAAUAGCUAAAUUCUACAAGUUUUUUACAAGGCUUUUUUCUUUCUUUUUUGAUGAUAAGUCUCGAUAUUAAGAAAGAAAAGAAAGAAGAAAGAAGGAAAGAAGAAAAAGAGAAAGAAAGAAAGAAAGAAAGAAAGAAAAAGAAAAGAAAAGAAAAGGCAGAAAGAGAAAGGUAACAAAAAAAAUAAAGUAGGGAGCAAGUGAUGGAAGGAAGAAAACUGAAAAAUAAUUUAUUCUAAACAAAUAUCCUUAGUAGCAAGAAAGACCUGCCUACAGAGUGGAAACUGAGAGAGAGAGGUUUGAUUCUCUAUGAUUUUACCCUCUUGCGUUUUAUGAAGAUUGAUAGAAGAGUUUAUUCUGUGACUCUGGAUUUCUUCUAUUGGCACAUUGGGAUGAAUAUUAUUAUAAGCCCAGAAGAAGAAGACCUAUUGACCAUUCAUGAAUGACAGCUAUCAGCUCUACAGAAACAUGGGAUGGAAGAUUGCUAAGUUAGAUUAUCUCUGCUCCACAAUUCCAUUGGCUAAAAAACCAGAGGGAAAGAGCAAAAGCUAGAACCUGAUAAAUGUAAGUUGAGCAUGCAGGGAGGUUUUCCACCUUAGAAGGCUGAUAAAUAUUGAAAUAUCUUAAGGUUUAGUUGACAGCUUGUCUCACCCACUCUCUCAGUAUGGAGAAUGAAGGAAAGAAAAAUGACUGGCAUUUAUUGUUAAUAAGGAACUUCUAUCCCAUUAAACACCACAAGAACCCAGCCAGGCAAAUAAACCCUGGGAAAUACUUGCUCUCAACAGGACAAAGGGUGAUAUCCUUAAUAAGAAAAGAGCUCAUGACAAAAGGUAAUAAUAAAAUAAUUAAGUUCCUCAUAAAUAAAGGGAGAAGGGAAGUAAGACAAUUUCAGACACAGACACAUCAGUGGCUAAUAAACAUUUGAUCAUUUUUCAACUCUGCUCAUUAUCAGAGAAAUGGAAGUUGGAAUAACAAUGAGAUACUAUUUUUAACCUAUCAGAUUAACAGAAUUGUAAAAAAAUGAGAACAUUCAAUUCUGGGGCUUGAGCACAGAGACAUAGACCUGCGCGACACAGCUGGAAGCAAUGCAAAGUGGUUCCAAGCCCUGAAGAAGCAACGCGGAGGACAAUGGGCGAGCCUUGAAAAUAAUUUGUGACACUCACCUCCAAAAUUCUGUUUCUGGGAUUCGAAUGAUGGAAAUGAUCUGAAAAGAAGAAAGGGUUGUCUGCCAAAGACAUUCAUUGCAUUGCUGUUUGUAAUAUUACAAUUGGGGGGGAAUAAAGUUUCCAAAAAUGAUGGUGAUAUUAAAC